Molecule: transfer RNA, 73 nt
Filed under: Stegodyphus mimosarum
Lineage: Eukaryota; Metazoa; Arthropoda; Arachnida; Araneae; Eresidae
Rfam family: tRNA
About the family: Transfer RNA (tRNA) molecules are approximately 80 nucleotides in length. Their secondary structure includes four short double-helical elements and three loops (D, anti-codon, and T loops).
Source: Rfam by way of RNAcentral
GCCUUCGUGGUGUAGUGGUGAGCACGCUCUACUCGUAAGUGAGAGUUCCGGGGUUCGAUUCCAGGCGAAGGGG